UUGAUUUGUUCUAAGUCAAACUUGUUUAAUUUUGAUCAAAUUUAUAAAAAAAUAUAACGACAACUAUACUACCAAACAUAUGCCCUGUCAAAACAUAUUUUAUGGUGGAUUCAAUAAAACAAAUUUGGUUUUGUAGAUGUUGUUAUAUUUUUGUAUAAGCUUGGUCAAAGUUGGAUAAUUUUGACUUAGAACAAACCAUA
RNAcentral lists this microRNA precursor (200 nucleotides) under Dichanthelium oligosanthes. RNAcentral's name for it is "MIR1435 microRNA precursor family". It matches the Rfam family "MIR1435 microRNA precursor family". Lineage: Eukaryota; Viridiplantae; Streptophyta; Magnoliopsida; Poales; Poaceae. The record is from Rfam by way of RNAcentral.